UCCGGUGCGGCGGGGGGAGGCCCGGGGCUCGGCGCUGAUACACCGGUCUUUAUCGGCUUCGAAAGGACUGCGGAGUGAGUGUCGUCAGCUCCCAAAUGCUUCGGCAGCAGUCAUCAGCAAGCUGCUGGGACAUCAGGAAGACCCUGGACGUGAAGAAUAAAUGAUGGUCUGGUUGCUGAAGGUUGCCACGUUGGCACAGAAUCACUUAGGUUGGAAAACACCUCUAAGAACAUCGAGAGUGCAGCUCUCUCAAAGACAAAAUAAGAGUUUAAAACCAGUUCUGAUGUAUUUUUGUAACUGCUGUGCUACUAACCGGUAACCACGUAUCUAUGUGUGUAUUCUGUAUGCUUAGUUAAGGUUGGUAGUUUAAUGCAAAACAGCACUUCCGUUCCUUAACAUCAAAGCAACCUUCUGCGAGGCGUGUAUAACAUAAGAAUGCCUCUCAGUUAAAAUAUCUUCAGAAAAAUUCAAAAAUAUUUUGAAAGGAAUUUGUUUGGAAAUGGUUAGGUUAUUAUCUAAGAUUAGAUUAUUCUCUCUCAAGGUUAUCUUCUCUGAGUUGGUUUGAGCUGAAAGUAGUGGAAUGCUGACAAAUAAGAACCGAAAGUAAACGUAGAUAAGUCUGUGUGGUAUUUCUUCAGUCUUUUCAUUUAAAAACAUCAGGAAUAUAUUGUUUUCAGUUUCACCAGCUAAAGCUGUAGGCAGUUUAUGGUAUCCAGAGCCCUGCCACUGCCUGCAUUGAGUUGGUGGAAACACAUGCACUCCCACUUCCAAGAGGCACUAAAAGCUCAGAGGUGAUUGCUGUAUUCUCUUGAGCUGCCUACAGGUGUGCAAUAGAAAGGGAAGAUCAAUCAGAUCUCAGAGAACAUGUGGACCACUUGCUUGAUCCGUGACCUCUCUGCAGCAGCUGUUUUCAAGCAGCACAUACAAGUAUUUGUGACAUGGCUUUCGGCUCAGUACACUCAGGCCAAGAUGGGCUCCCAUGUCUGCCUGAUGCUGAAAUAUCGGAAGAUGAGGAAAAAGGACCUGUAAGAGCUUUCACAAGGAUGUAUUUCAGUCCAUCUCUAGGUGACCAUAGGUGGUGACAUGAAUCCAAAGGGAGUGUUCAGUCUCCUCUGCCCAUUCCAUGCUUUCUGCUUCAUCUAAGAACAUCUCACUAUUGACAGAGCCAAAGCCAGCCAGCUCCAAGAUGGAUGUGCCACUGGCCAAGAUCCUGCCAAUCAGAAAUGGUGGUAACAUCUCUGUGAUAACCGGUUUAAGAAGGAAAAUAGAAGUGCAGAUAUAACUGCAGUCAGAGAAGAGCCAAGUGAGAACCUGUGAGAAGAACAACUCUGCAGACACCAAGGUCAGUGCAGAAGGAGGGACAGGAGGUGCUCCAGCAGGUGCUGGAGCUGAGAUUCCCCUGCAGUUCAUGGUGCAGACCAUGCUGAAGCAGCUGUAGCCCAAGGAGGAUCACAGGGAUGCAGAGACCCACCUAAAGCCUGUGGAGGAGACCCACACCUGAGCAGGGGGUGCCUGAGAGGAGCUGGGACCCUGUGGGAGGCCUGUGCUGGAGCAGGCUCCUGGCAGGGACCUGCAGACCUGGGGAGAGAGGAGCCCACAGCAGAGCAGAUUUCCUGGGAGGACUUGUGACCCAUGGGGGACCCAGGCUGGAGCAGCCUGUCCUUCAAGGACUGCACCCCGUGGAAGAGUGACCCACGCUGCAGCAGUUUGUGGAGGACUUACCCAUGGGAUGGACUCACAUUGGAGAAGUUCAGGGAGAGCUGUCUCCUGUGGGAGGGACCCCACACUGGAGCAGGGGAAGGAGUCCCCUUCCUGAGCAGUGGGAGAAACAACAUGGGAUGAACUGACCAUAAACCCCAUUCCCUGUCUCCACGUGCUGCUGGGGGGAGGGAGGUAGAGCUGGGAAGGAGGGAGGACUGGGAAUAAGGUGUUUUUAAGAUCUUACUUUACUUCUCAUUAUCCUGCUCUGAUUUUGUUAGUAAUAAAUUUAGUUAGUAUCUCUAA
Long non-coding RNA from Haemorhous mexicanus (house finch), 2004 nucleotides. RefSeq lists it as uncharacterized. NCBI's taxonomy places the organism in Eukaryota, Metazoa, Chordata, Aves, Passeriformes, Fringillidae. The record is from RefSeq and is a predicted model, not a curated record. The transcript has 2 exons.